This 21-nucleotide non-coding RNA is filed under the name Arabidopsis thaliana (thale cress). Lineage: Eukaryota; Viridiplantae; Streptophyta; Magnoliopsida; Brassicales; Brassicaceae. The record is from RNAcentral.
AAGCUCCAUAAUACAAAAUAC